RNAcentral lists this ribosomal RNA (491 nucleotides) under uncultured bacterium. RNAcentral's name for it is "partial 16S ribosomal RNA". It matches the Rfam family "Bacterial small subunit ribosomal RNA", at positions 28 to 507 of the family's 1533-position model. The record is from RNAcentral.
GAUGAACGCUGGCUACAGGCUUAACACAUGCAAGUCGAGGGGAAACGACGGGGAAGCUUGCUUCCCCGGGCGUCGACCGGGGCACGGGUGAGUAACGCGUAUCCAACCUGCCUCUGACUGAGGGAUAACCCGUCGAAAGUCGGCCUAAUACCUCAUGGUAUCGUCUGCGGGCAUCCAACGACGAUUAAAGAUUUCAUCGGUCAGGGAUGGGGAUGCGUCUGAUUAGCUUGUUGGCGGGGUAACGGCCCACCAAGGCUACGAUCAGUAGGGGUUCUGAGAGGAAGGUCCCCCACAUUGGAACUGAGACACGGUCCAAACUCCUACGGGAGGCAGCAGUGAGGAAUAUUGGUCAAUGGGCGAGAGCCUGAACCAGCCAAGUAGCGUGCAGGAAGACGGCCCUAUGGGUUGUAAACUGCUUUUAUGCGGGGAUAAAGUGAGGGACGUGUCCCUCAUUGCAGGUACCGCAUGAAUAAGGACCGGCUAAUUCCGUG